AGUACAGACAGAUGCCACAACCCAGCUGCCAACAGGAAUCCAGACCCUGGCUAACCAUCACCCAGCUUCCAUCUACUGUAUUCAGGGGCAGACCUGCCUGACUUGGAUAUCAGCUUCUCCAUGAAAAUAUGCAGUGCCUAAAAUUUACACUGAUCAAUUUGUUCACGAGAAAGGACAUUUCUAAAAGAGCGAGGAGACUGACCCCAGAACCAAGAGGAGUACUGGAGAGCAGAAGAUGAAGAAAAACCUUUAAACAGCAGAGCAGUGAAGUGGAGGGAGAGGCGGCCCCUCUCCUUUGCCAGAGACUCCCACUCCCAGAUGCAGGCCCGAGCGAUCCCUCAUAAUUUAAGCUGACACCCCUCAGCGGAGAUGAAAGGAACACCACUCGCUGCUCUCCAACAACAAAUGUCAGCAUCCCUGGAGGCCAUUUAGACACAAACGCAGCAUAAAUCUGACUCCUAGUGGGGAAGUCCAGAGAUUAAGUCUCCAUGCACAGCCUACCAGAGUGAAAUGAAUUUGCUUGGCACAAAGUUUGAA
Molecule: non-coding RNA, 537 nt
Filed under: Pongo abelii (Sumatran orangutan)
Lineage: Eukaryota; Metazoa; Chordata; Mammalia; Primates; Hominidae
Source: RNAcentral